CCGCCGCCGCCGCGCCCUCCGCACCGCGGCCGGCAGCGCUGUGAGGACGGGCGGGUGGGCGCGGU
Molecule: microRNA precursor, 65 nt
Organism: Gallus gallus (chicken)
Lineage: Eukaryota; Metazoa; Chordata; Aves; Galliformes; Phasianidae
Source: Ensembl